ACUCAGUAGCUGAGUGGAUCAAGCGAUGGCGUUUAAAGCGAAAGUUACUGGGAUCGAAUCCCAGAGUGAUACA
Molecule: transfer RNA, 73 nt
Filed under: Schistosoma mansoni
Lineage: Eukaryota; Metazoa; Platyhelminthes; Trematoda; Strigeidida; Schistosomatidae
Source: RNAcentral